Non-coding RNA from Oncorhynchus mykiss (rainbow trout), 1424 nucleotides. The record is from RefSeq and is a predicted model, not a curated record. NCBI's taxonomy places the organism in Eukaryota, Metazoa, Chordata, Actinopteri, Salmoniformes, Salmonidae.
CCAGGACAAGUUAUGCCUGGAACCUGCUGACGGUGUUCCCGAAAGGAACCAGGGAGAGCGGGUGGUCCUGGAAAUGACUGCAGGUCUCCAGGGGCACAACAUAACAUGUGACAAUUUCUGCAAUUUCUGCUCUUGGUCAGGAGCUGCUCCAAAAAAAACGACCAUGGUGGGUGGGGACUGUCAGAAGGUACAAGCCUGAGUUGCCCACUGCUUUACUCACUACCAAGGACAGGGAUCGUUUUUCCUCUAAAUCUGCCUCCACCGAUACACAGAUUCGUGUGUCCUACUGCCCGAAGAAAAAGAGGAAUGUGCUCCUGAUGACAACUCUGCACAGUGAUGCCUCUGUGAGUAUCAGGGAGGACAGGAAGCCCAACGCUGUCCUGGAUUACAACAGGAACAAAGAGGGAAUUGACAACCUUGAUGAGGUUACUGGCACAUACUCUUGUAAGAGGAUGACGACACGUUGGUUUGCACAUGGUGUUCUUCAAUAUCCUAGAUGUGUCGGCCUACAAUGCGUUUGUGGUGUGGAUGGAGGUGAUUUCAGGCUGGAAGCAGGGGAAAUUCUUCAAGAGGAGACUAUUCCUAGAAGAGUUGGGGAAAGCCAUGGUGGCACCCCUCAUUCAAAGGCACAAACACCUUCCUCCAACACCAUCCUCUGCUGGAUUGGUUAGAGAUAUACAAGGGCCAGAAGCAAGAUCUACGGCCGCCAGAGACAGAAGAGACAAAAAUGUAACCACCAUUGAUUGACAAAUUGUGAACAUUUUCAUGUUUUGGUUAUUGUUGGUAAUACUGUUAUUGUUACUGUUGUUAUUUAAUGUGUUCAGCCAUUAAUUUUAUAAUAUGGUAAAGUUUUCAUAUGUUGUUUUGGGCAUGUCCUUUCUUUACUAAUAAAAUCAUACCGGUCAGUUUUGACCGGGAACACAACAGAUGUUAUUUUGUGCCACUUAAAAAAAAUGUUUGAAAUGGUUUCAAAACAAAUGUCCUUGUUAAACUUUGACACAAGUAGUAUGUGAUAAAUAGCACAAUAUGUUUAAUCUGAGUAUUUGUUAUAGUCAAAAUAAUCCAUACAUUAUGCUUUUUUACUCAAAAACUGUCAUCUUUGUUUUCUUUAUUAUUUUGGUUAGGUCAGGGUGUGUUGAGGUUGGUACGUGUGUUUUGUCUAGGGUUUUUGUAUAUCUAUGGGGUUUUGGUAUGUCUAGAUAAAUGUAGGUCUAUGGUGGCCUGAAUUGGUUCCCAAUCAGAGGAAGCUGUUUAUCGUUGUCUCUGAUUGGGGAUCCUAUUUAGGUUGCCAUUUUCCAUUUUGGUUUUGUGGGUUAUUGUCUAUGUGUAGUUGCCUGUCAGCACUCGUGUUGUAUAGCGUCAUGGUCGUUUUGGUGUUAGUUUGUUUAGUGUUCUUUGUGUAAUAAAAUAAUAAUGUAUUCGUA